GGCCAGUCGGUGAUGUCCCUGAGCCGAUAACUGCAACAACGGAGGUUGCCAGUUGGACCGGUGUGCAUGUCCGCACGACGGAAAGCCUUAAGGUCUACUGCAACCGCCACCUUGAACUUUCGGGUUCAAGGGCUAACCCGACAGCGGCACGACCGGGGAGCUACCUUUCCACAUGAUCGAAUCGCAAGACCUCAGCCGCCC
This 201-nucleotide non-coding RNA is filed under the name Pseudomonas aeruginosa PAK. RNAcentral describes it as "SsrS/6S RNA". The stretch from base 1 to 163 matches the Rfam family "6S / SsrS RNA". From Rfam's summary of the family: E. coli 6S RNA was the first non coding RNA to be sequenced, but its function was unknown until recently. It consists of 184 nucleotides that fold into an extended hairpin structure with a large single-stranded internal bulge. The 6S RNA specifically associates with RNA polymerase holoenzyme containing the sigma70 specificity factor. The record is from RNAcentral. Lineage: Bacteria; Pseudomonadati; Pseudomonadota; Gammaproteobacteria; Pseudomonadales; Pseudomonadaceae.